RNAcentral lists this transfer RNA (77 nucleotides) under Desulfovibrio sp. An276. RNAcentral's name for it is "tRNA-Arg". It matches the Rfam family "tRNA". From Rfam's summary of the family: Transfer RNA (tRNA) molecules are approximately 80 nucleotides in length. Their secondary structure includes four short double-helical elements and three loops (D, anti-codon, and T loops). Lineage: Bacteria; Pseudomonadati; Thermodesulfobacteriota; Desulfovibrionia; Desulfovibrionales; Desulfovibrionaceae. The record is from RNAcentral. RNAcentral also lists the same sequence under 1 other name.
GGCUUCGUAGCUCAGUCGGAUAGAGCGACUGCCUCCUAAGCAGUAGGCCGCGUGUUCGAUUCACGCCGGGGCCACCA